CUUGCUGCCCCAAUUGGUCCUCUGGUGGUCAUGGAGUAGCUCCAUCAGAUCAUUGGUGAGAUUGUUCUGUUUAAGGGUACUUGGAUUGAAAAUCCAUUUGCAUGUGAAAUGUGAAGGUUUUAGAGCUGGAUUGAGGGCUUUGAUUCAUGGACUUGGAUUCGAGAUGUGCGUCUCGAUGUGGGAUUAGUUUGUCAUGAUCGACAGAUAAAGGCGGGUACUUCUUGCUUUAUCUCUUUAGUAUUUUGAUCCUAGUGCAUGAGCUUUCUGUUCAGAUAGUUGCUGUAUCUAUCUUG
Long non-coding RNA from Zingiber officinale, 293 nucleotides. RefSeq lists it as uncharacterized. The transcript has 3 exons. Lineage: Eukaryota; Viridiplantae; Streptophyta; Magnoliopsida; Zingiberales; Zingiberaceae. The record is from RefSeq and is a predicted model, not a curated record.